Pongo pygmaeus (Bornean orangutan) is the source of this 992-nucleotide long non-coding RNA. RefSeq lists it as uncharacterized. The record is from RefSeq and is a predicted model, not a curated record. The transcript is spliced from 2 exons. NCBI's taxonomy places the organism in Eukaryota, Metazoa, Chordata, Mammalia, Primates, Hominidae.
AAUGAGUAGGGCGAAGGCCCUAGUGUCUGGCAUUCUGGGCCCCUCGGCCGCGCGUUCGCAGCGGGCGAUGUUAGUGGGCUUGGGUGUUGGGUGAAGUAUCCAGGUUGGGUGCUUCCAGCGCUUUCUGUGGCGGGGGAAUGAGGGCCUAGGUCAGGGAAUAGGAGGGUGUAUCGCCGCCGGAGUGCGGAACACCCUCGCCUUGAGGGUUCCCACAGUGACUUGCAAAAGUCUAGUGAGACCCGAGAAGGCUGAGGCGGGACACGAAGCAUGUGGUUCUUGUGGUUGCGACGCUCGUGCCGCCAUCUUGGGUGCUGGCGGCGGAAACCGGUACCCUAACUUCCUCUCGGUGCGAACCUGGAGAAGCCACCCCAGCUGUGAGGGACGGUUGCGCCUCAUGGCCCAGGCAAGGGUACCUUCGCUGGAGCAGUUCCGCGGACGGAUAUCAUGAGGGUGGUGGGACGUUGGUGGAACGUUGAUGGUGUGAGAGGUGUGGGGUAAUGGCGAUUUUUGUCAUGGUAGAAACACCCCAAAGGACCCCCCUCGUUUGGCCUCCCACGCAGCUUAGUCUUGCUUUUUUAGGGAUGUUUCUCAAUUUUAAUUUCUCCAGUCCCAUCUGGUUAUAUUUCUAAAACAUGUUUGUGACUCUCAAACGUUAGUUUACUCCCAGCAUCACUUGGGGAGCUUGCUAGGCUACGAAUUCCGAGGUCCCACUGGAGAGUCUGAUUUAAUGACCCUGGAGUGGCGGCCAGAUAACCUGCCUGCUGGGGUGAUUUUAACGCAGCUGAUGCGAAGACCCCAUUUAGGGAAUCAUUGGGUUGGCGUUUGCAAAGCGUUCCUCCCAGCUAUAGGACAAAGAGGUGUCAACUCAACUCUGUCUUCUUAGAAGAGCCGAUUAUUUAUAGGCUGGACUGGAACUCCUGGACUCAAGCGAUCUUCCCAUUUAGCAGGGACUACUGACGCGUGUCUCCCAAUAAAUGCCUGAGUAUAAACAA